GAAGAAGGAAAACUUUUCUCACCUGUGUUGUGAACGUCUCCAAAGCUGAGACAGGAUCCCUUUUUUUUUUUUUUUUUAAAGGAGAAGUAAACUCAUCACACCUUCCAACCUGUCAGUUUCGUCGUCGUCGUCUUUUUUGUUAUUUCAGAAGAUUGUUGUUGCUGGUCUGGAGCCCCUCAUCUGUUUGCCUGCCUCAGCUCUGGACGUUUGGAGGCGCAGGACACUGGAAACCACCACGGAGGCGCAGGAUGGUACGGAAGAGGAUUGGGCCACCAAAAAUAAUUCAAUAAAAUUUUGACUUUAGUCAGAAUUCU
Xiphophorus hellerii (green swordtail) is the source of this 314-nucleotide long non-coding RNA. RefSeq lists it as uncharacterized. The record is from RefSeq and is a predicted model, not a curated record. NCBI's taxonomy places the organism in Eukaryota, Metazoa, Chordata, Actinopteri, Cyprinodontiformes, Poeciliidae. The transcript is spliced from 2 exons.